This 459-nucleotide ribosomal RNA is filed under the name uncultured Thiobacillus sp. RNAcentral describes it as "bacterial SSU rRNA". It matches the Rfam family "Bacterial small subunit ribosomal RNA", at positions 919 to 1382 of the family's 1533-position model. Lineage: Bacteria; Pseudomonadati; Pseudomonadota; Betaproteobacteria; Nitrosomonadales; Thiobacillaceae. The record is from RNAcentral.
ACCCGCACAAGCGGUUGGAUGAUGUGGAUUAAUUCGAUGCAACGCGAAGAACCUUACCUACCCUUGACAUGUCCGGAACUUGCCAGAGAUGGCUUGGUGCCCGAAAGGGAAUCGGAACACAGGUGCUGCAUGGCUGUCGUCAGCUCGUGUCGUGAGAUGUUGGGUUAAGUCCCGCAACGAGCGCAACCCUUAUCAUUAGUUGCUACGCAAGGGCACUCUAAUGAGACUGCCGGUGACAAACCGGAGGAAGUGGGGAUGACGUCAAGUCCUCAUGGCCCUUAUGGGUAGGGCUUCACACGUCAUACAAUGGUCGGUACAGAGGGUUGCCAAGCCGCGAGGCGGAGCCAAUCCCACAAAGCCGAUCGUAGUCCGGAUUGUUCUCUGCAACUCGAGAGCAUGAAGUCGGAAUCGCUAGUAAUCGCAGGUCAGCAUACUGCGGUGAAUACGUUCCCGGGUCUU